This 514-nucleotide ribosomal RNA is filed under the name uncultured bacterium. RNAcentral describes it as "partial 16S ribosomal RNA". It matches the Rfam family "Bacterial small subunit ribosomal RNA", at positions 28 to 523 of the family's 1533-position model. The record is from RNAcentral.
GACGAACGCUGGCGGCGUGCCUAACACAUGCAAGUCGAACGGAGAUUCAGCAAUGGAUCUUAGUGGCGAACGGGUGAGUAACACGUAGACAAUCUACCUUUUAGUUGGGGACAACAUCCCGAAAGAGUUGCUAAUACCGAAUAAGAUCUUUGGUCCGCAUGGGCUGAAGAAGAAAGAUGGCCUCUAUUUAUAAGCUAUCGCUAAAAGAUGAGUCUGCGUCUGAUUAGCUAGUUGGUGAGGUAAGGGCUCACCAAGGCGACGAUCAGUAGCCGGUCUAAGGGGAUGAACGGCCACACUGGGACUGAGACACGGCCCAGACUCCUACGGGAGGCAGCAGUGGGGAAUCUUCCACAAUGGACGAAAGUCUGAUGGAGCAACGCCGCGUGAGUGAAGAAGGCUUUCGGGUCGUAAAACUCUGUCUUCAGGGACGAAUGUACUGAUUGUGAAUAAUGAUCGGUAAUGACGGUACCUGAGGAGGAAGCCACGGCUAACUACGUGCCAGCAGCCGCCGUAA